AUCCAGCUGACGAGUCCCAAAUAGGAUGAAACACGUGUCCUGGAU
Molecule: non-coding RNA, 45 nt
Filed under: Schistosoma haematobium
Lineage: Eukaryota; Metazoa; Platyhelminthes; Trematoda; Strigeidida; Schistosomatidae
Source: RNAcentral